GGUGAACGCUGGCGGCGUGCCUAAUACAUGCCAGUCGAGCGAACGGACGAGAAGCUUGCUUCUCUGAUGUUAGCGGCGGACGGGUGAGUAACACGUGGAUAACCUACCUAUAAGACUGGGAUAACUUCGGGAAACCGGAGCUAAUACCGGAUGAUAUUUUGAACCGCAUGGUUCAAAAGUGAAAGACGGUCUUGCUGUCACUUAUAGAUGGAUCCGCGCUGCAUUAGCUAGUUGGUAAGGUAACGGCUUACCAAGGCAACGAUGCAUAGCCGACCUGAGAGGGUGAUCGGCCACACUGGAACUGAGACACGGUCCAGACUCCUACGGGAGGCAGCAGUAGGGAAUCUUCCGCAAUGGGCGAAAGCCUGACGGAGCAACGCCGCGUGAGUGAUGAAGGUCUUCGGAUCGUAAAACUCUGUUAUUAGGGAAGAACAUAUGUGUAAGUAACUGUGCACAUCUUGACGGUACCUAAUCAGAAAGCCACGGCUAACUACGUG
RNAcentral lists this ribosomal RNA (497 nucleotides) under uncultured bacterium. Its description in RNAcentral is "partial 16S ribosomal RNA". It matches the Rfam family "Bacterial small subunit ribosomal RNA", at positions 28 to 507 of the family's 1533-position model. The record is from RNAcentral.